This 497-nucleotide ribosomal RNA is filed under the name uncultured bacterium. RNAcentral describes it as "partial 16S ribosomal RNA". It matches the Rfam family "Bacterial small subunit ribosomal RNA", at positions 28 to 507 of the family's 1533-position model. The record is from RNAcentral.
GAUGAACGCUGGCGGCGUGCCUAAUACAUGCAAGUCGAGCGAACAGACGAGGAGCUUGCUCCUCUGACGUUAGCGGCGGACGGGUGAGUAACACGUGGAUAACCUACCUAUAAGACUGGGAUAAUUUUGGGAAACCGGAGCUAAUACCGGAUAACAUGUUGAAUCGCAUGGUUCAACAGUGAAAGACGGUUUUGCUGUCACUUAUAGAUGGAGCCGCGUCGCAUUAGCUAGUUGGUAAGGUCACGGCCUAGCAAGGGAACGAUGCGUAGCCGACCUGGGAGGGUGAUCGGCCACACCGGAACUGAGACACGGCCCAGACUCCUCCGGGAGGCAGCCGUAGGGACUCUGCCGCACUGGGCGGAAGCCUGACGGAGCAACGCCGCGUGAGUGAAGACGGUCUUCCGAUCGUAAAACUCUGUUAUUAGGGAAGAACAAGUGUGUAAGUAACUAUGCACGUCUUGACGGUACCUAAUCAGAAAGCCACGGCUAACUACGUG